RNAcentral lists this ribosomal RNA (255 nucleotides) under uncultured Actinomycetales bacterium. RNAcentral's name for it is "partial 16S ribosomal RNA". It matches the Rfam family "Bacterial small subunit ribosomal RNA", at positions 78 to 334 of the family's 1533-position model. The record is from RNAcentral. Lineage: Bacteria; Bacillati; Actinomycetota; Actinomycetes; Actinomycetales.
UUUUGUGGGGUGCUCGAGUGGCGAACGGGCGAGUAACACGUGAGUAACCUGCCCUUGACUUUGGGAUAACUUCAGGAAACUGGGGCUAAUACCGGAUAGGAGCUCCUGCUGCAUGGUGGGGGUUGGAAAGUUUCGGCGGUUGGGGAUGGACUCGCGGCUUAUCAGCUUGUUGGUGGGGUAGUGGCUUACCAAGGCUUUGACGGGUAGCCGGCCUGAGAGGGUGACCGGCCACAUUGGGACUGAGAUACGGCCCAG